RNAcentral lists this ribosomal RNA (431 nucleotides) under uncultured bacterium. RNAcentral describes it as "partial 16S ribosomal RNA". It matches the Rfam family "Bacterial small subunit ribosomal RNA", at positions 29 to 507 of the family's 1533-position model. The record is from RNAcentral.
AACGAACGCUGGCGGCAGGCCUAACACAUGCAAGUCGAGCGCCCCGCCAGGGGAGCGGCGGACGGGUGGGUAACGCGUGGGGAUAUGCCCUUUGCUACGGAAUAGUCUCGGGAAACUGGGGGUAAUACCGUAUACGCCCUUUGGGGGAAAGAUUUAUCGGCGAAGGAUUAGCCCGCGUUGGAUUAGGUAGUUGGUGGGGUAAUGGCCUACCAAGCCGACGAUCCAUAGCUGGUUUGAGAGGAUGAUCAGCCACACUGGGACUGAGACACGGCCCAGACUCCUACGGGAGGCAGCAGUGGGGAAUCUUAGACAAUGGGGGCAACCCUGAUCGAGCCAUGCCGCGUGAGUGAUGAAGGCCUUAGGGUUGUAAAGCUCUUUCAGCUGGGAAGAUAAUGACGGUACCAGCAGAAGAAGCCCCGGCUAACUCCGUG